This 484-nucleotide ribosomal RNA is filed under the name uncultured bacterium. RNAcentral's name for it is "partial 16S ribosomal RNA". It matches the Rfam family "Bacterial small subunit ribosomal RNA", at positions 30 to 507 of the family's 1533-position model. The record is from RNAcentral.
AUUGAACGCUGGCGGCAGGCCUAACACAUGCAAGUCGAGCGGCUGAAGGGAGCCUGCCCCUGGAUUCAGCGGCGGACGGGUGAGUAAUGUCUAGGAAUCUGCCUCGUAGUGGGGGAUAACGUCCGGAGACGGGCGCUAAUAUCGCAUACGCCCUGAGGGAGAAAGAGGGGGAUCUUCGGACCUCUCGCUAUCAGAUGAGCCUAGGUCGGAUUAGCUAGUUGGUGGGGUAAAGGCCUACCAAGGCGACGAUCCGUAACUGGUCUGAGAGGAUGAUCAGUCACACUGGAACUGAGACACGGUCCAGACUCCUACGGGAGGCAGCAGUGGGGAAUAUUGGACAAUGGGCGAAAGCCUGAUCCAGCAAUGCCGCGUGUGUGAAGAAGGUCUUCGGAUUGUAAAGCACUUUAAGUUGGAAGGAAAGGCAGUAAGUUAAUACCUUGGUGUUUUGACGUUACCAACAGAAUAAGCACCGGCUAACUUCGUG